Molecule: long non-coding RNA, 713 nt
Filed under: Pan troglodytes (chimpanzee)
Lineage: Eukaryota; Metazoa; Chordata; Mammalia; Primates; Hominidae
Description: long non-coding RNA NONPTRT013231
Source: RNAcentral
UGGAUGUGGAAAAGCUAUGCCAGACAUUCCCAAGGCACUAGAUAGCUAUAAAGGAAAGAGAUAGAUCAGGAUCCUAGCCAUGGGCACUGAAAAGUGUUGAGUGUCACCAGGGUCAGGGGCUUCUGUAGUCACCCCUGGGCUCCAAUAACCAAGCAAGGUUGGCAGCAGGGCCACAGGGCCUGAAGUCCCACUUUCCCACUCUCAUAUAGGCAUUGUCUCAUCUUUUUGAAUUGAUGGGGUUGUCUUGAUAGGCCAGAGCAAAUCACGUGAUUAUCAUUGAGAAUGACAUCCAUUCUGAAGAUACCUUUCAGGAUGACUUCAGGACUAGAAAUAGUAUCUGGCUUGUUUCUAGUACAUUUUACCUAAAGUUUCAUGUAUGAAUGGGAGAACGAAAGCCUCAGAUUGUCAACUAACUCUACCAAGUCUUACAAUAGUUCAGUGUUCAUCCAAAAAUCAAAUCCAUAAUUCCAGAUCAUUUCUUCAAUUCCUUCAACUCUUCUUUGAAGCUGAGACCCAGACUCUCGUCUGAUUUUCUAAGCCAGGCAAGACUGAUCAAGAAUCCUACAAGAAGAAAGUUUUCAGAAUCCUGACCUCACUCCAGCAGAAACGUUGCUGGUGACAAUGUUCUGGAAGACACCUCAGCAUGAAUCUCUGGAGCCAGCAUCUGGUACCACUGCCAUCUAUGGGGUGAAUACUGCAAUUAAGAGCCUGAC